RNAcentral lists this small RNA (851 nucleotides) under Pongo abelii (Sumatran orangutan). RNAcentral's name for it is "retained intron". Lineage: Eukaryota; Metazoa; Chordata; Mammalia; Primates; Hominidae. The record is from RNAcentral.
CACACCAGAGCCCGUACUUCUGGACAAGUACCCUGUGGCCGGCUGCAGAGCUGGACUAUGCCAUCUACCUGGCCAAGAAGAACAUCCGAAAACGGGGGACCCUGGUGGACUAUGAGAAGGACUGCUAUGACCGGCUACACAAGAAGAUCAACCACGUGUGGGACCUGGUGCUGAUGCAGGCGAGGGAGCAGCUGCGGGCAGCCAAGCAGCGCAGGAAGGGGGACAGGCUGGUCAUUGAGUGCCAGGAGCAGACCUACUGGCUGGUGAACAGGCCCCCGCCCGGAGCCCCCAGUGUGCUGGAGCAGGGUCCAGGGCGGGGAUCCUGCGCUGCCAGCCGUGUGCUCAUGACCAAGAGUGCAGAUUUCUAUAAGCGGGAGGUAAGUUCUGGAGCUGGGAGUGGAGGGUGCCAGGUGCCUUCCCCAGACCAGGAUCUGACUCACAGGCCCCACAUCCUAGAUCGAGUACUGCAGGAGAGCGCUGGGCAGGACCCGAGUGAAGUCCUCCGUCUGCCUUGAGGCGUACCUGAGUUUCUGCAGCCAGCAUAGACCCCACGACCCCCUCGUGUCGGGGUGCCUGCCCAGCAAUCCCUGGAUCUCAGACAACGACACCUACUGGGUCAUGAAUGCCCCCACGGUGGCUGCCCCCACGAAGCUCCGUGUGGAGAGAUGGGGCUUCAGCUUCCGGGAGCUCCUAGAAGACCCUGUGGGGCGGGCCCACUUCACAGACUUUCUGGGAAAGGAGUUCAGUGGAGAAAACCUCAGUUUCUGGGAGGCAUGUGAGGAGCUUCGAUAUGGAGCGCAGGCCCAGGUCCCCACCCUGGUGGAGGCCGUGUACGAGCAGUUCCUGGCCCC